GGGCCCGCACAAGCGGUGGAGCAUGUGGUUUAAUUCGAAGAUACGCGCAGAACCUUACCAACACUUGACAUGUUCGUCGCGAGCCUAAGAGAUUAGGCUUUUCAGUUUGGCUGGACGAAACACAGGUGCUGCAUGGCUGUCGUCAGCUCGUGUCGUGAGAUGUUGGGUUAAGUCCCGCAACGAGCGCAACCCCCUACUUUAGUUGCCAGCAUUAGUUGGGCACUCUAGAGAGACUGCCGUGAUAAACCGGAGGAAGGUGUGGAUGACGUCAAGUCAUCAUGCCCCUUACAUCUGGGCUACACACGUACUACAAUGCUACGGACAAAGGGCAGCAAGUUCGCGAGGACAAGCAAAUCCCAUAAACGUGGCUC
This 371-nucleotide ribosomal RNA is filed under the name uncultured bacterium. RNAcentral describes it as "bacterial SSU rRNA". It matches the Rfam family "Bacterial small subunit ribosomal RNA", at positions 917 to 1289 of the family's 1533-position model. The record is from RNAcentral.